UGAUCCUGGCUCAGGACGAACGCUGGCGGCGUGCCUAAUACAUGCAAGUCGAGCGGACAGAUGGGAGCUUGCUCCCUGAUGUUAGCGGCGGACGGGUGAGUAACACGUGGGUAACCUGCCUGUAAGACUGGGAUAACUCCGGGAAACCGGGGCUAAUACCGGAUGCUUGUUUGAACCGCAUGGUUCAAACAUAAAAGGUGGCUUCGGCUACCACUUACAGAUGGACCCGCGGCGCAUUAGCUAGUUGGUGAGGUAAUGGCUCACCAAGGCGACGAUGCGUAGCCGACCUGAGAGGGUGAUCGGCCACACUGGGACUGAGACACGGCCCAGACUCCUACGGGAGGCAGCAGUAGGGAAUCUUCCGCAAUGGACGAAAGUCUGACGGAGCAACGCCGCGUGAGUGAUGAAGGUUUUCGGAUCGUAAAGCUCUGUUGUUAGGGAAGAACAAGUACCGUUCGAAUAGGGCGGUACCUUGACGGUACCUAACCAGAAAGCCACGGCUAACUACGUGCCAGCAGCCGCGGUAAUACGUAGGUGGCAAGCGUUGUCCGGAAUUAUUGGGCGUAAAGGGCUCGCAGGCGGUUUCUUAAGUCUGAUGUGAAAGCCCCCGGCUCAACCGGGGAGGGUCAUUGGAAACUGGGGAACUUGAGUGCAGAAGAGGAGAGUGGAAUUCCACGUGUAGCGGUGAAAUGCGUAGAGAUGUGGAGGAACACCAGUGGCGAAGGCGACUCUCUGGUCUGUAACUGACGCUGAGGAGCGAAAGCGUGGGGAGCGAACAGGAUUAGAUACCCUGGUAGUCCACGCCGUAAACGAUGAGUGCUAAGUGUUAGGGGGUUUCCGCCCCUUAGUGCUGCAGCUAACGCAUUAAGCAUUCCGCCUGGAGUCGCAUUCC
RNAcentral lists this ribosomal RNA (892 nucleotides) under Bacillus sp. (in: firmicutes). RNAcentral's name for it is "bacterial SSU rRNA". It matches the Rfam family "Bacterial small subunit ribosomal RNA", at positions 14 to 873 of the family's 1533-position model. Lineage: Bacteria; Bacillati; Bacillota; Bacilli; Caryophanales; Bacillaceae. The record is from RNAcentral.